UUUCACAACUACCUUGUUCAGAACUUAAAGAGAAAUCUCGAGUUUAUGGACUUCAGGGGGAGUAUGGUCACAAGGCUGAAACUUAAAGGAAUUGACGGAAGGGCACACCAGGAGUGGAGCCUGCGGCUUAAUUUGACUCAACACGGGAAAACUUACCAAGACCGAACAGUAGAAGGAAUGACAGAUUAAGAGUUCUUUCAUGAUUUAUUGGGUAGUGGUGCAUGGCCGUUCUUAGUUGGUGGAGCGAUUUGUCAGGUUAAUUCCGGUAACGAACGAGACUGAGACCUAUUAAUUAGUUUCCUGCCUAUACGACAGGAAUCUCCGCAAGGUCAGGUGCCUCGGUACCACUUCUUAAAGGGACACAUUUCAAUUGUCUCAUUUUAAUCGAUGUCUCUGGCUCCGGUCAGAACUCUUUUAACGUGAGAAAAAGAAAAAGGAAGCAUUCAGCAAUAACAGGUCUGUGAUGCCCUUAGACAUCUUGGGCCGCACGCGCGC
RNAcentral lists this ribosomal RNA (495 nucleotides) under Entamoeba moshkovskii. RNAcentral describes it as "SSU rRNA". It matches the Rfam family "Eukaryotic small subunit ribosomal RNA", at positions 1063 to 1498 of the family's 1831-position model. Lineage: Eukaryota; Evosea; Mastigamoebida; Endamoebidae. The record is from RNAcentral.